CCACGUCAGUCCAAUCACACAUAC
RNAcentral lists this microRNA (24 nucleotides) under Ananas comosus (pineapple). Its description in RNAcentral is "microRNA s1557_c089b". Lineage: Eukaryota; Viridiplantae; Streptophyta; Magnoliopsida; Poales; Bromeliaceae. The record is from RNAcentral.